UUCUGAUCUCUUUGGCUCCUGCUCUCCUUGCCUCCUCUCCCUUGCCCUCAAGCUCAAGCUUUCCAAAUGGACAUGGAAAAAGGUUUGCAGCUACCUGGGGUCCACAUUGGAUAAGGGGCUCCAGCAAAAUGGAGAUCCAGGCAAAAAGCCCAGAUCUCCAGAAUGACCAAGGAACUUACAGAGCCAGACUGGAUGAGAAGGCCUUCUAAGGAUCCCUGAUGUGAGCCACAUGAACAAGAAAGCCUGCCUUGCUGUUAGCCCCACUGCUAAGCUGCUGCUGGAAGAAAACUCAAUCUUCCAAAUGGACAUGGACAAUAGGUAGAACCCUGUCUGCAAUCCAAUAAACUAUUGGACUUUUAUCCUGCCUCUGAGUCUGUGAGUUCUGCAUUUGGGCUAGUAAUCCUGCCUGAUCAUGUCAACAUCCAUAUCUUCAG
Molecule: long non-coding RNA, 434 nt
Organism: Cyprinodon tularosa
Lineage: Eukaryota; Metazoa; Chordata; Actinopteri; Cyprinodontiformes; Cyprinodontidae
Exons: 3
Source: RefSeq, a predicted model, not a curated record